Molecule: transfer RNA, 74 nt
Filed under: Candidatus Levyibacteriota bacterium
Lineage: Bacteria; Candidatus Levyibacteriota
Description: tRNA-Arg
Rfam family: tRNA
About the family: Transfer RNA (tRNA) molecules are approximately 80 nucleotides in length.
Source: RNAcentral
GCCCUCGUAGCUCAGUUGGAUAGAGCGCGACGUUGCGGACGUCGAGGUCGAAGGUUCGAAUCCUUUCGAGGGUG